ACCACCACCUCCAUAUUAUUAUAAGUCGCCACCUCCACCUUCACCAUCACCUCCACCACCAUAUUAUUAUAAAUCUCCGCCACCACCCUCGCUAUCACCACCUCCACCUUACUAUUAUAAGUCUCCACCGCCACCUUCUCCUUCACCUCCUCCACCAUACUACUAUAAAUCUCCACCACCUCCUUCACCUUCACCUCCGCCACCUUAUUAUUACAAGUCUCCGCCUCCUCCGUCACCAUCACCACCACCACCAUACUAUUAUAAGUCCCCACCACCACCUGCUAAGUCACCUCCUCCCCCAUACUACUACAGUUCUCCACCACCACCACUAAAGUCUCCUCCUCCACCAUAUUAUUAUUCCUCACCGCCACCACCAAAGAAAUCACCCCCGCCACCAUAUCACUAUACUUCCCCACCACCACCAGUUAAGUCUCCUCCUCCAUCGUAUUACUAUUCCUCACCACCACCGCCAAAGAAAUCACCUCCUCCCCCAUAUCACUAUAGUUCCCCACCUCCACCAGUUAAGUCUCCUCCUCCACAAUAUUACUAUUCCUCACCACCGCCUCCCAAGAAAUCACCUCCUCCACCAUAUUAUUACUCUUCUCCACCACCACCAAAGAAAUCACCACCGCCACCAUAUCACUACUCUUCCCCACCACCACCAGUAAAGUCACCUCCAACUCCAUACUACUACACCUCCCCACCACCUCCAAAGAAGUCUUCUCCCCCACCGUACUAUUACGCUUCACCACCACCACCUACUCAGUACUAUCCUCCAUAUCAUCAUUUGGUGGUCAAGGUUGUCGGAAAGGUCUACUGUUUUAGAUGCUAUGAUUCAAAAUAUCCAGAGAAGUCUCAUGGCAAGAAACACCU
This 873-nucleotide long non-coding RNA is filed under the name Nicotiana tabacum (common tobacco). RNAcentral describes it as "long non-coding RNA (NTAB_LNC000222)". Lineage: Eukaryota; Viridiplantae; Streptophyta; Magnoliopsida; Solanales; Solanaceae. The record is from RNAcentral.